UCGCGGCUCGCCCCCAUUUAUUAACAUUUCUGAUCAACGAUGACCAUCUCAAUUCCCCAACGGAACAAUUUCGGGUAUAAAUUGAAGUUUUGCUUGGUUUUAAUAUUUUUGGACUGUUAUUUGUUAACGUUUGCUCAUUUCUGUCUACUUUGAAUCUUUGAUUAAUAAAAUUUAUUAAUAAACUUUCUGCUUUCUUGUUUUGCAGAUAUUAAAUAUUAAGACUAUGUUGAUUGAAAAUUUCAUUUCCGUACCUUUUGUAAAUUUUACCACAUGAAAUAAAAUCUAAACUCUUGCGGCUCGUCCCCAUUUAUUAACAUUUUCGAUCGACGAUCGACCAUCUCAAUUCCUCAACAGAAUAGCUUCAAUUCGGGUAUAAAUUGAAGUUUUGCUGG
RNAcentral lists this long non-coding RNA (392 nucleotides) under Zostera marina. RNAcentral's name for it is "long non-coding RNA (ZMAR_LNC000841)". The record is from RNAcentral. Lineage: Eukaryota; Viridiplantae; Streptophyta; Magnoliopsida; Alismatales; Zosteraceae.